CGCCGCUCGGGGCCGCGCGAGGACGCCGCUCGGAGGCCGCGCGAGGACGCCGCCUGGAGGCCGCGCGAGGACGCCGCUGUGGGGUCGCGUGAGGGCGCCGCGUGCAUCGCCGGACCACCACGCCAUCACCGCAGGAGGGCCGCGCGCCUCUGUGUGCCAGGAGAGCACCACCGGUAGGGGUAGGCCAUUGACGAGAUCUGAAACAGCUCAGUGAACGAGGUGUAGAUCCAUCCAUCUUGUGGUCUUGGUGAUGCGCAACAACCAGUCCCUUCAGAUCAAGAAGGUUCAAGUUCGGAAACCUCUUGUCAACAGAGAAGAUGGGUCAAAGAAAAUUAUACGUGCAGUAUUACUUGGACUACUGCCAAUAUAUAUGGAGGAGAAGAUUAAUUGCUGGUAUUCUUGUGUGUCUAGCCAUGCAUCUGUAUAGGAUUAAAUCAAGAAAAAGAAGAAGGGCCAUAACUUAUGGUCCCAUGAUAGAUAGAGAUGUUGAUAGAUUGGCACGUCUAAAUCGUUUAUAUCAUGGUACAGAGGCCCAUUGCAUAAGUGAGUUGCGUAUGCGGAAAGCUGUCUUUCAUAAACUAUGUGUUGAACUUAGAUCACGUGCCUUGCUAGAGGACACUUUUCAUGUAACAAUAGAGGAACAAGUUGCCAUGUUUAUCCAUUGUGUUGGGCACCAUUGGUCAAAUAGAUCAAUUGGUUUUGAGUUCAUGAGGUCAAGUGAAACGGUUAGUAGGUACUUUCAUCAUGUUUUAGAUGCCCUUUGUACCCUUGGUCGUGACCUCAUAUGCAUGACAUCCAUUGAGACACACUCAAAGAUAACAAGUUCUUCGGGCAGAUUUCACCCUUAUUUUGAGGGAAGACUAGAGGCAAUUCCAAUGACAUCAGAUCAGAGGGUUCUUGUUGGUGAGCACUUAUCUUCCAAGGAGAAUAAAGGUAAGCGUGGCUGGUUGUGUAAUGCAAGUGAUGCUACUCUACAUGCUUGGGUGUUCAAGUUCUUAUGUGACAAGGAAGGCAUUAACCUUUGAAGGCUUGUGAGGUUGGCUGGUCAUAUUUUGUGCCAUGUCGAAGAACUUAGCUGGGUGCUUAUUUUGCUUGUGAUCAUGACUUAUGGUGGCUGAUCAUAUUGUGUGCCCAGAAACUUAUUUAUGUGCUUAGUUUGAUUGUCGUGAAGACUGAUGGCAUGUUGGAUGUGUGCUCACUUUGCCUGGGCUGUAAUGAGCCAUGCUUGGCUAGUUGCUGAUUUUGUAAUUAGUAUUGUAAUAUAAAUCUCCUAGGCUUAAACCUUCUACAUAUAUGUAUAUAUAUGUUGUUCUCUGAAAAAUGAGUGUGAUCCUACUAUGACAAUGAGGUAUUUUUCAUUCA
Sorghum bicolor (sorghum) is the source of this 1362-nucleotide long non-coding RNA. RefSeq lists it as uncharacterized. The record is from RefSeq and is a predicted model, not a curated record. The transcript has 4 exons. NCBI's taxonomy places the organism in Eukaryota, Viridiplantae, Streptophyta, Magnoliopsida, Poales, Poaceae.